AUGGCGGCGGUUCGGUACGCCGCAAGGAGGCUCGGUGGCUCCCUGCUCCAGCGAACGCAGGCGGCGGUCCUGGAGGGGCGCCGUCUCGUGCCAAGCAGGUUCAUGCGCUCCCGCCAGUUCACCAAAGUCUCCAGUGAGCAUGCUGGGAAGAUCCCGAAGAAACACGAGCUGUCUGACGUGGAAUAUAAGUUGAAGGUUCAGGCGGAGCUUUCUAAGAAUUUAAAGGAGUUGGAGAAGUUGCAGCAGGAAGAGGCGAAUGCAAGACCAAAUGCCAUUCAGUUGAGGUUGAUGUCUAUUGAACGUGCGAUUGAUGGUGUGAUCGGUGGAGCCGCCAAGUUGGGAUUUUUCGAAUGGUUAUGA
Molecule: ribosomal RNA, 360 nt
Filed under: Triticum aestivum (bread wheat)
Lineage: Eukaryota; Viridiplantae; Streptophyta; Magnoliopsida; Poales; Poaceae
Description: partial small subunit ribosomal RNA
Source: RNAcentral